UCGAGAAUCUUCGGCAAUGGGCGAAAGCCUGACCGAGCGACGCCGCGUGCGGGAUGAAGGCCCUCGGGUUGUAAACCGCUGUCGUAGGGGAGGAAGGCUCCGUGAAGAGCGGGGUUUGACCUAUCCUAGGAGGAAGUACGGGCUAAGUUCGUGCCAGCAGCCGCGGUAAUACGAACCGUACAAACGUUAUUCGGAAUCACUGGGCUUAAAGGGUGCGUAGGCGGCCAUGUAAGUGAGGUGUGAAAUCCCUCGGCUUAACCGAGGCACUGCGCUUCAUACUGCAUGGCUUGAGGGAGACAGGGGUAAGCGGAACUGAUGGUGGAGCGGUGAAAUGCGUUGAUAUCAUCAGGAACACCGGUGGCGAAAGCGGCUUACUGGGUCUCUUCUGACGCUGAGGUACGAAAGCUAGGGUAGCGAACGGGAUUAGAUACCCCGGUAGUCCUAGCUGUAAACGAUGAGCACUUAUCUGGGGAUCCUCCCAUAGGUUCCCGGAUGAAGCGAAAGUGUUAAGU
RNAcentral lists this ribosomal RNA (512 nucleotides) under uncultured Planctomycetota bacterium. RNAcentral's name for it is "bacterial SSU rRNA". It matches the Rfam family "Bacterial small subunit ribosomal RNA", at positions 355 to 865 of the family's 1533-position model. Lineage: Bacteria; Pseudomonadati; Planctomycetota. The record is from RNAcentral.